UUUAGUAUAUGUAUGUUCUGGAGAUUCAUCAAGGUUGCCUCGAGCCCGAUUGUCUCAUUCACCUGCAAGGUAGUCGUUGUAGACUGAUUAUCUGACCAAAUACCAAUUGUAUGGAAGUGGUUAGCAUGAAGUUUAUUUUUGUGUAAAUUGGUCAAUUAAUUAAUAGAGUAUUGAUACGCAGACGAGACUUUUUAUGUUUCAGUAUUCU
Molecule: long non-coding RNA, 208 nt
Filed under: Panax ginseng (ginseng)
Lineage: Eukaryota; Viridiplantae; Streptophyta; Magnoliopsida; Apiales; Araliaceae
Description: long non-coding RNA (PGIN_LNC015662)
Source: RNAcentral